RNAcentral lists this transfer RNA (71 nucleotides) under Actinobacteria bacterium 13_1_20CM_3_68_9. RNAcentral's name for it is "tRNA-Gly". It matches the Rfam family "tRNA". From Rfam's summary of the family: Transfer RNA (tRNA) molecules are approximately 80 nucleotides in length. Their secondary structure includes four short double-helical elements and three loops (D, anti-codon, and T loops). Lineage: Bacteria; Bacillati; Actinomycetota. The record is from RNAcentral.
GCGGGCGUGGUGUAGAGGUAGCACAAGACCCUUCCAAGGUCUUAGCGCGGGUUCGAUUCCCGCCGUCCGCU